CUUCCUGACCCAGGGAUCGAACCCAGGUCUCCCACAUUGCAGGCAGAUGCUUUAACCUCUGAGCCACCAGGGA
Molecule: transfer RNA, 73 nt
Filed under: Haemonchus contortus (barber pole worm)
Lineage: Eukaryota; Metazoa; Nematoda; Chromadorea; Rhabditida; Trichostrongylidae
Description: tRNA, Pseudo
Source: RNAcentral